RNAcentral lists this ribosomal RNA (459 nucleotides) under uncultured bacterium. RNAcentral describes it as "partial 16S ribosomal RNA". It matches the Rfam family "Bacterial small subunit ribosomal RNA", at positions 338 to 795 of the family's 1533-position model. The record is from RNAcentral.
CCUACGGGAGGCAGCAGUGAGGAAUAUUGGUCAAUGGGCGUAAGCCUGAACCAGCCAAGUCGCGUGAGGGAUGAAGGUUCUAUGGAUCGUAAACCUCUUUUAUAAGGGAAUAAAGUGUGGGACGUGUCCUGUUUUGUAUGUACCUUAUGAAUAAGGAUCGGCUAACUCCGUGCCAGCAGCCGCGGUAAUACGGAGGAUGCGAGCGUUAUCCGGAUUUAUUGGGUUUAAAGGGUGCGUAGGCGGAAUAUCAAGUCAGCGGGAAAAAUUCGGGGCUCAACCCCGUCGUGCCGUUGAAACUGGUGUUCUUGAGUGGGGGAGAAGUAGGCGGAAUGCGUGGUGUAGCGGUGAAAUGCAUAGAUAUCACGCAGAACUCCGAUUGCGAAGGCAGCAUACCGGCGCCCAACUGACGCUGAAGCACGAAAGCGUGGGUAUCGAACAGGAUUAGAUACCCUAGUAGUC